UGAGAGCAAAUUCCUAUCAAACC
RNAcentral lists this small nuclear RNA (23 nucleotides) under Arabidopsis thaliana (thale cress). Its description in RNAcentral is "snRNA_05985". Lineage: Eukaryota; Viridiplantae; Streptophyta; Magnoliopsida; Brassicales; Brassicaceae. The record is from RNAcentral.